CCUACGGGAGGCAGCAGUGAGGAAUAUUGGUCAAUGGGCGCGAGCCUGAACCAGCCAAGUAGCGUGAAGGAUGACUGCCCUACGGGUUGUAAACUUCUUUUAUAAAGGAAUAAAGUGAGGCACGUGUGCCUUUUUGUAUGUACUUUAUGAAUAAGGAUCGGCUAACUCCGUGCCAGCAGCCGCGGUAAUACGGAGGAUCCGAGCGUUAUCCGGAUUGAUUGGGUUUAAAGGGAGCGUAGAUGGGGUGGUAAGUCAGUUGUGAAAGUUUGCGGCUCAACCGUAAAAUUGCAAUUGAUACUGGCAGUCUUGAGUGCAGUUGGGGUAGGCGGAAUUCGUGGUGUAGCGGUGAAAUGCUUAGAUAUCACGAAGAACCCCGAUUGCGAAGGCAGCUUACUAAACUGUGACUGACAUUGAUGCUCGAAAGUGUGGGUAUCAAACAGGAUUAGAUACCCGAGUAGUC
This 460-nucleotide ribosomal RNA is filed under the name uncultured bacterium. RNAcentral's name for it is "partial 16S ribosomal RNA". It matches the Rfam family "Bacterial small subunit ribosomal RNA", at positions 338 to 795 of the family's 1533-position model. The record is from RNAcentral.